GGAAUCUUCCACAAUGGGCGCAAGCCUGAUGGAGCAACACCGCGUGAGUGAAGAAGGGUUUCGGCUCGUAAAGCUCUGUUGUUAAAGAAGAACACGUAUGAGAGUAACUGUUCAUACGUUGACGGUAUUUAACCAGAAAGUCACGGCUAACUACCUGCCAG
RNAcentral lists this ribosomal RNA (161 nucleotides) under uncultured bacterium. RNAcentral's name for it is "partial 16S rRNA". It matches the Rfam family "Bacterial small subunit ribosomal RNA", at positions 358 to 511 of the family's 1533-position model. The record is from RNAcentral.